GACGAAGGUGGCGAGCGUUGUUCGGAAUCACUGGGCUUAAAGCGCAUGUAGGCGGCCUGUCAAGUGUCUUGUGAAAUCCCCCGGCUCAACCGGGGAAUUGCUGGGCAAACUGAUGGGCUUGAGGCAGGUAGGGGCGAGUGGAACUCUUGGUGGAGCGGUGGAAUGCGUAGAUAUCAAGAGGAACGCCGGAGGUGAAGACGACUCGCUGGGCCUGUCCUGACGCUGAGAUGCGAAAGCCAGGGGAGCAAACGGG
This 253-nucleotide ribosomal RNA is filed under the name uncultured bacterium. RNAcentral's name for it is "partial 16S ribosomal RNA". It matches the Rfam family "Bacterial small subunit ribosomal RNA", at positions 524 to 776 of the family's 1533-position model. The record is from RNAcentral.